GAAUUUUGCGCAAUGGGCGAAAGCCUGACGCAGCAACGCCGCGUGGGGGAUGAAGGCUCUCGGGUUGUAAACCCCUUUUCUUGGGGAAGAUGAUGACGGUACCCAAGGAAUAAGUCACGGCAAACUACGUGCCAGCAGCCGCGGUAAUACGUAGGUGGCAAGCGUUGUCCGGAUUUACUGGGCGUAAAGCGCGCGUAGGCGGCUUUCUAAGUCUAUGGUUAAAUCUCCCGGCUUAACUGGGAGGCGUCUGUAGAUACUGGAAGGCUUGAGUGUCGCAGAGGAAAGUGGAAUUCCCGGUGGAGUGGUGAAAUGCGUAGAUAUCGGGAGGAACACCAGAGGCGUAAGCGGCUUUCUAGGCGAUUACUGACGCUGAGGCGCGAAAGCGUGGGGAGCGAACCGG
Molecule: ribosomal RNA, 400 nt
Filed under: uncultured bacterium
Lineage: Bacteria
Description: bacterial SSU rRNA
Rfam family: Bacterial small subunit ribosomal RNA
Source: RNAcentral